UUUUACACAUUAAUUUAUAAAUAUCUAUUGAAUAAAAAUGAAGCCAUGUUUUUCAUAAUUGUUGUACAGAUAGGUGGCAAAUUAAAGGAACACCCUUAAGAAAGGAGUUAGGGGUGAGGGCAUUUUUCUGGCAUGGUUUGGGUCCACUUAUCCCCUUAAAGGAAAUGGUCACUGCACAUCAAUAUGAAGUGGUUUUGAAUGAUCACCUUUUUUCCUAUGAUGAAGCAUUUCUAUCCUGUUACAAACGGACAAUGCACCAUCCAUAGGGCACAAGGGGUCAAUGAACGGUUAAUGAUGUGAAGGAUAUGUCAUGGCCUAACCUGAUCUCAACCCAGUUGAACAUCUAUGGGAGAUUUUAGACCAAUGUGUUAUGUCUAUGUGAUGUCUUCAUCAUUAUCAAGACAGCAAAUGAUGAUCUUUUGGAACAAUAGUGUGCCAUUCCAGCAGUACAAUUCCAGAGACUUCUAGAAUCAAUGCCAAGGCACAUUGAAGCUGUCCUGGGAACACAUGGUGGCUUAACACUGUUUAUUAAGGUACUGUUAAUUUUCCCUUUAAUUUCUCACCCAUCUGUAUAAUGUCACUGUCACAUGGAAACCUAGUAUCUCCAGAUUUGAUCAUUUUUCCUUCUUUAAGUUCUUUAUAAAACAAUGCUAUUGGUCACCCUUUACAUUUAACUGUGGGUUUCACAAAUAUUUAACCAAUGAAAAGUAUUAAAAAGUGUUUGUGACUAAAUCUCAAUCUCUAAAACUUUUGGUAAAGCCUCAUAACUCCACCCCACCUACAUGUUGAAGGAUUGAUGUGCCACACAGCAGAGCUGAACGUAAACAGUGAUCUUGAAGUAACCACUUCAUCCUGCUCAGGAUUGAGGAGGAUCCAGAGUUUAUCCAGGAUUAAUGGGCAAGAGGCAAGAAUAUAUCUUACAUCAGUCCAUCACAGGAGACCACGGACACACACACAGACA
This is a long non-coding RNA of Ictalurus furcatus (blue catfish), 961 nucleotides long. RefSeq lists it as uncharacterized. The transcript is spliced from 2 exons. The record is from RefSeq and is a predicted model, not a curated record. Lineage: Eukaryota; Metazoa; Chordata; Actinopteri; Siluriformes; Ictaluridae.